Helobdella robusta is the source of this 114-nucleotide regulatory RNA element. It matches the Rfam family "Potassium channel RNA editing signal". From Rfam's summary of the family: This family represents a group of sequences related to the human potassium channel Kv1.1 hairpin element which directs the efficient modification of an adenosine to inosine by an adenosine deaminase acting on RNA (ADAR). The record is from Rfam. NCBI's taxonomy places the organism in Eukaryota, Metazoa, Annelida, Clitellata, Rhynchobdellida, Glossiphoniidae.
GUGGGCUACGGUGACGUCACGCCCGUGGGAGUGUGGGGUAAAUUGGUGGGCACCUUCUGCGUGAUAGCCGGGGUGCUGACUAUAGCCCUGCCCGUUCCAGUUGUGGUUGCAAAU